UCACCAAGGUGGGUUUAUACUGAUGAUAUUUACCUUAGUUUUUCCAUCUUUUUUUUUUUUUUUUUGAGAUGGAGUCUUGCUCUGUCACCCAGGCUGGAAUGCAGUGGCGUGAUUUCCGCUCACUGCAACCUCCACCUCCUGGGUUCAAUUGAUUCUCCUGCCUCAGCCUCCUGAGUAGCUGAGAUUACAGGCGCCCGCCACCAGGCCCGGCUAAUUUUUUGUAUUUUUAGUAGAGACGAGGUUUCACCAUGUUGGCCAGAUAAAAUACAGGAUGAAAAAUGAAGUAAAAGACUAAAAAUAUAAUAAUGAUAACAGUUGACAUGUCAAGCCAGGGCAUAUUUUCUUUAUCAUUUUGUCGUGUUAUCUAAACUUUGCAUGAUGCAGUUAUAAUGCUUUUAGAAAAUUUUUGGAAAGUUAAAUGUAAAUUAGAUGAAAAUCUGUCACAUAGCAUAAGAAAUCUGAGAAAAUCUCCAAACCUUACGGACAUCUCCAUGACCUUUGCCCCACACAUAUGCCAUGGUGAUGCAUCCCAGAACUAGAUGUGCAAGGCGCUGUGACUUGUGGUCUGUGAGAUGAUCAAUGCUGAGCAUGUUUAACUGAAAACAAAU
Molecule: non-coding RNA, 608 nt
Filed under: Pan troglodytes (chimpanzee)
Lineage: Eukaryota; Metazoa; Chordata; Mammalia; Primates; Hominidae
Source: RNAcentral